CCUACGGGAGGCAGCAGUGAGGAAUAUUGGUCAAUGGACGCAAGUCUGAACCAGCCAUGCCGCGUGCAGGAAGACGGCUCUAUGAGUUGUAAACUGCUUUUGUACGAGGGUAAACGCAGAUACGCGUAUCUUUCUGAAAGUAUCGUACGAAUAAGGAUCGGCUAACUCCGUGCCAGCAGCCGCGGUAAUACGGAGGAUUCAAGCGUUAUCCGGAUUUAUUGGGUUUAAAGGGUGCGUAGGCGGUCGGAUAAGCUAGAGGUGAAAUCCCGAGGCUCAACUUCGGAAUUGCCUCUGAUACUGUUCGGCUAGAGAGUAGUGGCGGUAGGCGGAAUGUAUGGUGUAGCGGUGAAAUGCUUAGAGAUCAUACAGAACACCGAUUGCGAAGGCAGCUUACCAAGCUACUUCUGACGUUGAGACACGAAAGCGUGGGGAGCAAACAGGAUUAGAUACCCCUGUAGUC
This 460-nucleotide ribosomal RNA is filed under the name uncultured bacterium. Its description in RNAcentral is "partial 16S ribosomal RNA". It matches the Rfam family "Bacterial small subunit ribosomal RNA", at positions 338 to 795 of the family's 1533-position model. The record is from RNAcentral.